UAUGUUUUUUUAUUCCCUUCUGUUUAAUUUUAGUGGGUUAAAAGUGAAUACUUCAUCCUCUGUAUUUUCCAACUCUUAUCUCUACGUGUUCGCAAACAUCACCAUUAGAUGAUAAGUAGAAGACAAAACUUACAGCCAAAUAGCCAAAACUUAUCUCUCUCCAAAACAUUUGGUCCAUACGAUAAAGCAAGAAGAAGAAUUAAGAAGACGAGGAAGAAGAAGAACAAGAUGAAGCAUGAAAUGAGGAACAUCAAGCCUCGAUGGAUAACACUCUUCUUUCUUCUCUUUGGUUUGCUUCUUGGAAAUUGUGCAGUUCAAGCCUCAAGAGCUCGUGUUAUCGCAGAUACGGUCUCACUUCCCUCACAAAUACAUCGCCUGAAUUUAAGGAGGCUUAUGAUAGGAUCGACGGCUCCAACUUGUACUUACAAUGAGUGCAGAGGAUGUAGAUACAAAUGCAGAGCUGAGCAAGUCCCGGUCGAAGGCAAUGAUCCUAUCAACAGUGCUUAUCAUUAUAGAUGUGUUUGUCAUAGAUAAUAAUGAUAAUCUUUUCUUUUUGCACUUCCACUGCAAUUUUUGUAUCGAGUUAAUUGCAUUUUCUCUUUUAAACGAGAUAUUUUGGUCAACAUUAUUGCUUCAUCUUUUUCAAUUUAUAGGAUGUCGUAGAGAUUUUUACUUGAUUUUUGUUUUUUGUUUCUAUGCCAAUAUUUUUUUUUUAAUCAUGCAGUGUAUUUUCGUAUCCAUUGAAAUCACUUAACUUCUUAUGUUCUUAUGUAAAGGGAGAUUAAAAAAACUUGUGUUGUUUUUGAAAUCUCGAGCUUUCACACAAAACUUCUUAUAAAACCGAACUAGUAUGUUAAUUAUUAGUAUUUCCCAUUUUAUGUUAGCCUCUUUUUAAAGCAUGUGUUGGUCUUGAUGAUGAUGAUAUGGUGAUGAUACUAAAAUUGGGGUUUGUGGGUGUAGAGGCAUAUAAGUGUGUUCAAAAAUCGCAGGGAAAAAUCACAUGCUCAUGUGGUCCAGAUCUAAUACAUAGGUCAAGAAAGGAUCACAUGAGCGAACUAGAGUUGGCAUGUUUGUAAUUUUAGCUCCCUCUCUUUUGUUCUGUUUCCCAUAAGAAAAUAGGCGUUAAAGGCCUUUGUUCCAUUAGGAUCAAUAGAAUGUUACAGAAUGUUAUGUUCCUUCCUCUUUUUUGUUUCCUCGCAUCGCAUGAGGAUCAAAACGCUUUUUCUUUAGAGCUGUUUGGUGUUAGACUUUGAAGACUUUAUAGGUUCACAGCUUUUUUUUUGACCAAACAUGUUUUUUUUUUUAUUUUUUUUUUUUUAAUAUAAAUAACUCAGUGUACAUCUCAGAUCUGAUCUAUGGAAGGACUCAGACUAAUCCCUAGUGCAGCCCAUGGAUAGACUUUUUCUCUGGAUAUUCAAAUGGGCUGAAAAAAAAGGCUCAUAUCCAUUGAUGCAUGUGGAGAGAUGAUGAGGACAUCGAAACAAGCACCACACAAGCCGAUGAAAAGCUGAUAACAAUACCAACUAUGAGGCCCGCAUCAAGGACAAGGUCAGGCACUAAGAGCUUAAAAGAGGAUUUUAACAAAUCAAUAGAGGGGCUGAUCACGCUCAUAGAUCAUGAAAAACUCAAAGAGAAGCUACUCAAAGGGGUGAUCACUUGAGAAGCACCAAUGGAGCCAGUAACCCAGUUCAACACCUUAGAGACACAAGACUUGGAGAUCACGGCAGGAUCAAACUGUGUGGAGCUUAAAGACCUUCAAGAAUUCAAGGACACCAAAGAAACGCCAAACAAUGACUACUCUCAAAUUAAGCUUCAAGCUAUACUAUUUUUGCCGGUCUUACAAGGCAACAAGGAAGCAGCAUUGUUUGUCAUUGCCAAACAAGUGGAAGCUCCACUCUCCGAACCAAUGUGAGUAUUUACAUUACAGGUUAUUCUCACAAGUUUCUUGUUUGUUUUGCAGACACUUUUUCCUUAGUCGUUUUAGAGUUUUAGUAGUUUUUCCAUUUUUUUUCUUUUAAGUGAAACGAUAGGUUUAGUACUUUCCUUUUUGUAACAAUUUCGGCCAAAAGAA
RNA transcript from Eutrema salsugineum, 2071 nucleotides. It is a transcript of the gene named EPIDERMAL PATTERNING FACTOR-like protein 9, with no coding region annotated. The record is from RefSeq and is a predicted model, not a curated record. The transcript has 4 exons. NCBI's taxonomy places the organism in Eukaryota, Viridiplantae, Streptophyta, Magnoliopsida, Brassicales, Brassicaceae.